Molecule: ribosomal RNA, 300 nt
Filed under: Triticum aestivum (bread wheat)
Lineage: Eukaryota; Viridiplantae; Streptophyta; Magnoliopsida; Poales; Poaceae
Description: partial small subunit ribosomal RNA
Source: RNAcentral
AUGGAUCCAGAGCUUGGGGAGGUGACAGAUGAGGAAGAGGAGGUAGUGCAGGCAGUGGAUGUGAGGAGGCAAAGGGCUCGCCCUGCAGUGCAGGCAGUGGAGUGGGAGCUGGAGUUCAAGAGGAGGCUGGCAGAGAAGAUCUUGGAGAAGUGCAACUCAGAUGAGUUCACAGUUCUUGUCCCUGGCGGCAGGCGCAAGAGCUCAGGGAAGAUCAUCAGGUGGGCUAGGAGACAGGCAGUACUCGCUCCUCACCCUUCUACCAGAGCAAAGUGGUGUCGUUUCUUCGCUCGUUACGAUUGA